This 492-nucleotide ribosomal RNA is filed under the name uncultured bacterium. RNAcentral describes it as "partial 16S ribosomal RNA". It matches the Rfam family "Bacterial small subunit ribosomal RNA", at positions 29 to 507 of the family's 1533-position model. The record is from RNAcentral.
AGUGAACGCUGGCGGUAGGCCUAACACAUGCAAGUCGAACGGCAGCACAGUAAGAGCUUGCUCUUACGGGUGGCGAGUGGCGGACGGGUGAGGAAUACAUCGGAAUCUACUUUUUCGUGGGGGAUAACGUAGGGAAACUUACGCUAAUACCGCAUACGACCUACGGGUGAAAGCAGGGGAUCUUCGGACCUUGCGCGAUUGAAUGAGCCGAUGUCGGAUUAGCUAGUUGGCGGGGUAAAGGCCCACCAAGGCGACGAUCCGUAGCUGGUCUGAGAGGAUGAUCAGCCACACUGGAACUAAGACACGGUCCAGCCUCCUACGGGAGGCAGCAGUGGGGAAUAUUGGACAAUGGGCGCAAUCCUGAUCCAGCCAUACCGCGUGGGUGAAGAAGGCCUUCGGGUUGUAAAGCCCUUUUGUUGGGAAAGAAAAGCAGCAGGUUAAUACCCCGCUGUUCUGACGGUACCCAAAGAAUAAGCACCGGCUAACUUCGUG